ACACCGGCAGCUCAAGUGGUAGCCGCUUUUAUUGGGCCUAAAGCGUCCGUAGCCGGUCUGAUAAGUCUCUGGUGAAAUCCCACAGCUUAACUGUGGGAAUUGCUGGAGAUACUAUCAUGACUCGAGGUCGGGAGAGGCUGGAGGUACUCCCAGGGUAGGGGUGAAAUCCUGUAAUCCUGGGAGGACCACCUGUGGCGAAGGCGUCCAGCUGGAACGAACCGGACGGUGAGGGACGAAAGCCAGGGGCGCGAACCGGAUUAGAUACCCGGGUAGUCCUGGCCGUAAACGAUGUGGACUUGGUGUUGGGAUGGCUUCGAGCUGCCCCAGUGCCGAAGGGAAGCUGUUAAGUCCACCGCCUGGGAAGUACGGCCGCAAGGCUGAAACUUAAAUGAAUUGGCGGGG
This 402-nucleotide ribosomal RNA is filed under the name uncultured bacterium. RNAcentral describes it as "partial 16S ribosomal RNA". It matches the Rfam family "Archaeal small subunit ribosomal RNA", at positions 473 to 873 of the family's 1478-position model. The record is from RNAcentral.